CCUACGGGAGGCAGCAGUGAGGAAUCUUGCGCAAUGGGGGCAACCCUGACGCAGCAACGCCGCGUGAGUGAGGAAGGUCUUCGGAUCGUAAAGCUCUGUCGGAUGGAAAGAACCACAUGGGGGUUAAUACCCCUCAUGUCUGACGGUACCAUCAAAGGAAGCACCGGCUAACUCCGUGCCAGCAGCCGCGGUAAUACGGGGGGUGCAAGCGUUGUUCGGAAUUAUUGGGCGUAAAGAGCGUGUAGGCGGCAGGAUGUGUCAGAUGUGAAAGCCCUGGGCUUAACCCAGGAAGUGCAUUUGAAACUAUCCAGCUUGAGUAGGGGAGAGGGAAGUGGAAUUCCUGGUGUAGAGGUGAAAUUCGUAGAUAUCAGGAGGAACACCGGUGGCGAAGGCGACUUCCUGGCCCUAUACUGACGCUGAGACGCGAGAGCGUGGGUAGCAAACAGGAUUAGAUACCCUGGUAGUCCACGCCGUAAACGAUGUUCACUAGGUGUUGGGGGUAUUGACCCCCUCAGUGCCGGAGCUAACGCGUUAAGUGAACCGCCUGGGGAGUACGGUCGCAAGACUAAAACUCAAAGGAAUUGACGGGGGCCCGCACAAGCGGUGGAGCAUGUGGUUUAAUUCGAUGCAACGCGAAGAACCUUACCUGGGCUUGACAUCCACGGAAUCUCCUGGAAACAGGGGAGUGCCCUUCGGGGAGCUAUGAGAAGGGCGAAUUCCACCCCUUUGGCGG
This 733-nucleotide ribosomal RNA is filed under the name uncultured bacterium. RNAcentral describes it as "bacterial SSU rRNA". It matches the Rfam family "Bacterial small subunit ribosomal RNA", at positions 338 to 1062 of the family's 1533-position model. The record is from RNAcentral.